UUAUCUCCAUAAUGUAACAUUACUAUUUUGUAAAAAAACAUUAUAUAUAAUUUUGAAAAUAAUAAAUAAUAUGUAUACAUACAACAUAAAAAAUGGAAAUACUAAAUUAAACAUAUGUAAGAUUACCAUUUUACAUUUAAAAAUAACAAUAAUAUGUAAACAUACAACAUAAAAAAAUGGAAAUCUACAUUAAACAUAUGUAAGAUUACCAUUUUUCACUAAAAAAACGGCUUAUCUCCAUAAUGUAACAUUACCAUUUUAUAAAAAAAAAAAAAAACAUAAAUAUAACUAUUUGACUAUUUGUCCAAAUUCUUCUAUUAAACAUUGUCGUUUUACAUUAAAAAUGAAAAAAUACAUUAAAACUUAAACAUCUAUCUUAAAAUAUAGAUAUUAACUAAGUAUAAAGUAUAAGAAAGAGAAAUACUCAAUAUAUAGAAAAAUAAAUAAUAAGUAUAUAAUAUAAAUAUAUAAAUAUACGAAUUAUAUAUACAAUAAUAAGUAAAUGCACAAUUUAAAAAAAAAUGGAAAGAAUACAUUAAAUAUUAAACAUCUAUCAUAAAAUGUAAAAUAUAGAUAUUAAGUAAAUAGAAAGUAUAAGAAAAAGAAAUACACAACUUAAAAACAAUGGAAAAAAUAUAUUAAGAUUUAAACAUCUAUCUUAAAAUGUAAAAUAUAGAUAUUACGCAAAUAGAAAGUAUAAGAAAAGGAAAUACACAAUUUAAAAAAAAUGGAAAAAGUACAUUAGUAUUUAAAUAUCUAUCUUAAAAUGUAAAUCUAUCUUAAAAUAUAAAAUUAUUAGUAAAAAGAAAGUAUAAGAAAUAGAAAUACACAAUAUAAAUAAAAAUAAUUAAUAAGUAAAUAUAUAAUAUAGGUAAAUACCCAAUUUAAAAAAUGGAAAAUUACAUUAAGAUUUAAAAAUAUAUCUUAAAAUUUAAAAUAUAGAUAUUACGUAAAUAGAAAGUAUAACAAAUAGAAAUAUACAGUUUUAAAAAAAUGAAAAACGUAAAUUAACAUUUAAACAUCUAUCUUAAAAUGUAAAAUAUAGAUAUUAAGUAAAUAAAAAGUACAGGAAAUAGAAAUACAUAUACAGGAAAAUAAAUAAUAAGUAAAUAAUGUAAAUAUAUAAUAUAUGAAUUAUAUAUAUAAUAACAAGUAAAUACACCAUUUUUAAGAAAAUGGAAAAAGUUCAUUAAACAUUAAACAUCUAUCUUAAAAUGUAAAAUAUAUAAUAUAAGUAAAUACACAAUUAAAAAAAAAUGGAAAAAGCACAUUAAGAUUUAAACAUCUAUCUUAAAAUGUACAUCUAUCUUAAAAUGGUAGUAAAUUAUAUAAAAAUGGAAAUACCACAUUAAACAAAAAAAAUGUAUAGUUUUACAUCAAGAAAGUUCCUAUAAAACUGAUUAUCCCAUCAACAUCAACCUCACACAAUCAAGGAAAACUUCAAAGCACUCGAGCAAAAAAAUGGUUCCACCAUCAAUUCUUGCGAUCCCAAAAACCUUUAAUGGCCUUGAAGGAGAUUUUUUAUAAAAACGAACUUUUUGUUAGUUGGAUUCAUUGUUGGAAAACCCGCAACUUCCAAAAGCCAAACUUAUUAAUGGGAAUUGAAUUGCUUUUCAUAGACACAAAAGUAUUCUUACAAAUUUAAAUUAAUCUAAUCCAUAAUUUUAUUGUUAAUAUUCAUACUAACUCUUUCAUGAUCAAACCAUUACAGUUAAUAACCAUUCAAGCGUUUAUCCCGAAACACUUCCUUCCUCGCCGAAUCAGGUAUUGGUUCAUGUUGGUUUAGUAUUAUUUUUGGUUUAUUAACCGGUUUAGGAUGGUCCUUUUGUAAAUAUAAUUUAAUUUGAUUUAGCAUAUCUUAUGCUUAAAAUAACUUAAAUUAAAUAAUAGUAAUAUUAUGCUUAAAAUAUAAUUUUAGAGAGUUUUCAAAUAUAGUUUACAGAACAUUAUAGGUGAUGAAUUUAAUUUAUUAAAUUCGUUUAUUACUUAAAACUAAGUUUUUUUUUAAACAUACUGAGUUAUAAAUAUCAAUGAUGGAUUGGUAAGUAUAACUUGAAGACAAAAAUAUAAAUAUUUGAUUUUCAAGAUAAGAAAUUCAGCUUUUAUCCAAUUACUCUAUAUAUAAUAUCUUAAUUUUUUUAAAAAAAUAUACAUAAUUUAUAUAUAUAGAUUAAUCUUCCAAACUUAAACUAUUAUAUUAUAUAUGAAUAAUGUUUUUAAAUAAAAAUAAUUUCUGAUUAAAAUAAAUAAAUAAAAACAACAAAUGGUUAUUUUCAAAUAAUGGAUGUAAUUUACAUUAUACUAUCAUUUAACAAGUAUUAGAUACGUUUUGAUAUAUCAUUAUUUUCUAUUUCCAGAAAACAAUAAUGUUAAACAUCAAUAUCAUCUAGGUUAAGUAUACGAACAUCACAAUUCAAACAUCACAAAAAAUUUUACAUAAACAUUAUAAUACAAUAUUUUAAUCAAAAAAUACAAUUCAAAAAAAAAAUUCAAAGAAUAGUUAUAUACUUAAUAUUUGAAAAUCAAAGAUAUUUUUGCUAAAACUAUACUUACCUGGCCAAGGAGAUCAACCAUCUUUUUACGGAUCGAUCGAUUGUUGAGCAUGUGGUGGAUCCGAAAAUACUCUGGAGUUUAAUUAAAUAUCUAAAACAUUUAUUCCAACACUCAACAGAUAGUUUUGCUAAAUAUGAUAACUAGAUAGCCAACAAAAUUACAAAAAAAAUAUUUAAAUAGUAAAAAAUAUGUUAAUUUAACGUGUUAAAAUUUAAAAAUAAAUUUAAAGUAUGGCAUGCAUUCUUAACAUUUAUAUAAAUAUACUUCGCAGCCUAAAUAUAAAUAAUUUAACAACUUAAAUUAGAAAAAAGUAAAAAUCCCGGGCGUAGCCCGGGUUAAUCCCUAGUCUAUACUAAUAAAAGGGACCUUUUGAGGCUCCAUAGAACGUCCACAUCAGCAAAAAAAACUACUUCCGAAAAAUGACACGUGGCAUAAAAUAUAGUUUUACAUUUUAAUAUUACUAAUCCUUACUAAUAAAAGGGACUUUUUGAGGAUCCAUAGAGCGUCUACAUCAGCGAAACAUAGAGCAUAAAAAAUGGAAAAACUACAUUGAACAUAUGUAAAAUUACUAUUUUUCAUGUUGAAACAAAGACGGCUUAAUUCCAUAAUGUAAUAUUACCAUUUUACAUUUUUAUUUUUAAAAAAAUAAUAUGUAAACAUACAACAUAAAAAUGGAAAAACUACAUUAAACAUAUGUAAGAUUACCAUUUUUCAGUAAAAAAGACGGUUUAUCUCCAUAAUGUAACAUUACUAUUUUGUAAAAAAAAAUAUUAUAUAUAAUUUCGAAACUAAUAAAUAAUAUGUAAACAUACAACAUAAAAAAUGGAAAUAUUACAUUAAACAUAUGUAAGAUUACCAUUUUACAUUUAAAAAUAACAAUAAAAUGUAAACAUACAACAUAAAAAAAUGGAAAAACUACAUUAAACAUAUGUAAGAUUACCAUUUUUCACUAAAAAACGGCUUAUCUCCAUAAUGUAAAAUUUUAUUUUAUAUAAAAAAAAACAUAAAUAUAACUAUUUGACUAUUUGUCCAAGUUCUUCUAUUAAACAUUGCCGUUUUACAUUAAGAUUUAAACAUCUAUCUUAAAAUAUAAAAUAUAGAUAUUAACUAAAUAUAAAGUAUAAGAAAGAGAAAUACUCAAUAUAUUGAAAAAUAAAUAAUAAUUAAAUAUUAUAAAUAUAUAAAUAUACGAAUUAUAUAUACAAUAAUAAGUAAAUGCACAAUUUUUAAAAAAUGGAAAGAGUACAUUAAAUAUUAAACAUCUAUCUUAAAAUGUAAAAUAUAGAUAUUAAGUAAAUAGAAAGUAUAAUAAAAAGAAAUACACAACUUAAAAACAAUGGAAAAAGUAUAUUACGAUUUAAACAUCUAUCAUAAAAUGUAAAAUAUAGAUAUUAUGCAAAUAGAAAGUAUAAGAAAAGGAAAUACACAAUUUAAAAAAAUGGAAAAAGUACAUUAGUAUUUAAACAUCUAUCUUAAAAUGUAAAUCUAUCUUAAAAUAUAAAAUUAUUAGUAAAUAGAAAGUAUAAGAAAUAGUAGUACACUUACUAAUAAAAGGGACCUUUUGAGGCUCCAUAGAGCGUC
RNAcentral lists this long non-coding RNA (4134 nucleotides) under Brassica rapa (field mustard). RNAcentral's name for it is "long non-coding RNA (BRAP_LNC006124)". Lineage: Eukaryota; Viridiplantae; Streptophyta; Magnoliopsida; Brassicales; Brassicaceae. The record is from RNAcentral.